Molecule: ribosomal RNA, 372 nt
Filed under: uncultured organism
Description: partial 16S ribosomal RNA
Rfam family: Bacterial small subunit ribosomal RNA
Source: RNAcentral
GUAGGUGGCAAGCGUUGUCCGGAAUUAUUGGGCGUAAAGCGCGCGCAGGCGGUUCUUUAAGUCUGAUGUGAAGGCCCACGGCUCAACCGUGGAGGGUCAUUGGAAACUGGAGAACUUGAGUACAGAAGAGGAAAGCGGAAUUCCACGUGUAGCGGUGAAAUGCGUAGAGAUGUGGAGGAACACCAGUGGCGAAGGCGGCUUUCUGGUCUGUAACUGACGCUGAGGCGCGAAAGCGUGGGGGAGCAAACAGGAUUAGAUACCCUGGUAGUCCACGCCGUAAACGAUGAGUGCUAAGUGUUAGGGGGUUUUCCGCCCCUUAGUGCUGCAGCUAACGCAUUAAGCACUCCGCCUGGGAGUACGGCCGCAAGGCUG